Molecule: long non-coding RNA, 1725 nt
Organism: Callithrix jacchus (white-tufted-ear marmoset)
Lineage: Eukaryota; Metazoa; Chordata; Mammalia; Primates; Cebidae
Source: Ensembl
AUGCGUCCCCAGCUCCAGCCGCAUCUCGCCGCCUCUAUGGCAUCUCUGGGGCUUCAGAGGGAAGCUGCCCGACCCGGAGGCUUGAAAUCCGCCCUUUGUUCCCUCCCGGGACGUCAGAGCCACAACUCACUAAGGGCGGCCGCCUCGGCAGCCGGAAGCGCGGGCCAGCGGCAACUUCGGGUCUGCGCAGGCGCAGGCCGGGGAAGCCGGGAGCGGCCGGGUUUCUGUGGCCCGCGGCUGCCCUCUCGUGGCCGCAAGGCGGCAUGGCACGGCCGCUUCCACGCAGCGGCGUUGGGCGGGAGGCGGCAGGGCAGGCCAGCCGGGGAGGCCAGCCAAACGCUGUGUUUUUCCAGGUCCGCGCGGGCCAGGGGAACCCUGCGUGUUUGCUUGAUGGGAGUGGUUUACUGGGAAACUAGACGGAAGCUGGGUGUGCCCGAGUCUUCUCCUAUCUCCUGAUUGUGCGUUGUCCUUCAGCUUUUUGUGCCCCACCCUGUUCUUGUCUCAAGAAGUCGACUUGGAAUGUUUCCUCUUGUCCGCGGUUUGAAGAUGAGUCACCAAAAACAUCACCCUGCCCUUGCGGAAGUGCGUGUUGGCUGCUCGGCCAUUUCACCUGUAUGCCCCAGGAUGGUUUGCUAAGGAGAUGGUUUCUUCAGGGCUCCACUCUUUUUCAUGCCCUUCUCAGCUCCAGACUACAUCCCAUCGAUGGACAUUAUCCUGUACCCCCCGGGGGAGGAGAGUGGGGGAGAGUUUCUGUGCCUGGAUUAUUGGUGGAGGAGAGCAAGUGCAGCAAUGAAGCUAUGACUUUUGCAGAAGUCAUGCAUUCCGUUCAAGGAUAGUCCUUUCUGUAGCCUCCACACAUUCCCUCUCACUGCAGGCCCCUGGGGUUUUACUGUGUGACCGGGUCAUAUUGCAUCUGCAUAGAUUAUCAACGCACCUCAUGACUGUGGAGGAAGAAGUCUGGGACAGAACAUGGGUCUGGAAGGCUCGCAGCAUGGACUUGGUCAGGUGACACAAUGUCCCAUGUUCUUCAAGAAGUGUCUAGACUAGGUGACUGAUUCUAUUGGAGAUCUAGCACAGUGCUCUUGCCACAGAGAGGGGCAAAUUGAGAUCCAGAGAGAAGUGACCGGCCCAGGUCACUCAGCCAGCUGGUGACUGAGCUGGAAAUCAUUCCCAGGUCUCCUGACACCCAGUUCAUUCAUUUUUUGCACAUACUUCCAAGGAUUUACUGUAUGCUAGGCACUGUUCUGGGUGCUGGGAAUCUACGAAGUGCCUGUAUAGAGUUUGUGUCUUGUAGUGUGUAUGUGGGGAGGUUGUGGAUAAACAAAUAAACAGAUUUAUCCAGAAUGCCACAUGGUUAAAAGUUUUGAUGAUACUCAGUGCCUCUUCUCUUGUUUUUGAAGGGAAUGGGUUUGAGGCUUGGGAGGAGAUGUUCACUCAUACAUUCGGUCAUUAAAUAAACAUUAGAGGAUGUCUCACUAUGUGCCAGAUGCUGUGCAGGGCACACAGAUAUACAGGGAGGGUCUGCCUUCAAAAGCCACCACCCAGCUGGGCAGAUAAGCUAUGCCUCUUAGCAUCUUUACAUGGAUUUCUGUAAUUGUUAUGCUGAUUGUUUUUUUCUCCAGAUCUCUCCCAAAAAAGGACACUUGUAGAAACGAUGAUUCUGAAAUGGUACAAAACCCUUCCCCAAAAGGGAAAGCCAGCCACUGCUACUGACUUAUUGAUGGC